UCUAGAACUCGAGAUAUGGGCUGAACACUAAACAGUGUCUGGGCUUCAGGAUAGAUUCGGACUUCUCUGUUUUUGCUACAAUUUGGACUUGAAAACAGCCUUUUUAAAUCUUGGACUCCCCAUGAAAGUUUUAGGCCUAUGUCUUAGCUUUCCAUC
This is a non-coding RNA of Populus trichocarpa (black cottonwood), 156 nucleotides long. NCBI's taxonomy places the organism in Eukaryota, Viridiplantae, Streptophyta, Magnoliopsida, Malpighiales, Salicaceae. The record is from Rfam.